RNAcentral lists this long non-coding RNA (6684 nucleotides) under Equus caballus (horse). RNAcentral describes it as "lncRNA (ENSECAG00000058751.1)". Lineage: Eukaryota; Metazoa; Chordata; Mammalia; Perissodactyla; Equidae. The record is from RNAcentral.
CCUACUUUUGUGUUAUAAUCAAAUAAGAUAAAAUGAGCAAAGUGUUUAGAACAGCCUUGAGCUCAACUGGUGCUUAAUCAAGUCUGUUCUCUUUCCAUUCCCUCUUAAUUAUCCACUGAGCCUCUUUUUUCAUUUUGCAACCAGUCUCAAACUUGCUUCUUUGCCAGGUAUGCAUUAUUGCAAGAAGCAAGGCAUUUAAAAUCAAAACAUGGUUAUAAUAAAGGCAGGCAAUUAUCACUCUGGGGGAUUCAGCAAAGGGAGACUCCUUUCCCAUGGCUGCUUUUUCACGUUCGGGUCUUCCAAACCAAUUUUUCUGCAAGAGGGUCUUCUCCGGUGAAUUGAGAAACCACCUACUCCCCCAAAGAGCCAAUCUAGGCAAUGAGAUGCUACCAAGUCGGAGAUGCAGCCCAGCCAGCAUCCUGGCCUUGGUCCUUGGAUCCAGGAUCCCAGAUUUCCCAGCCAGUCACCUGUUGCCAUCACAGUUUGGGGAGGCAUGUUUGCAGGUUUUGCUGUGGAGUCUGGGCCCCCAAGGCACACAGAAGCCUUGUAAGGCAGGCUCCACAUGCCCCACUCAAGCCCAGCCCCUUAUGAACACGCACCACAGAUCAGAUCAUGUAUUCCCUCUCCCGGAAUAAAACGCCCUCCGUAGCCACCCCGAGAACUCACCUGCGGCAGAUUAAGAUCCACUUCCUAUAUCUCUCUCUUCGGAAGGCCUCCCCUCAAGCAAAAGUGCCUUUCUCCUCCGGGGCCACAGUCACGUGGUGCCCGGGACACGCCUCCUUCCCAGACGCUCUCGCUGAGCAUCAGCAUCCCGAUAACGUGGGUGCGCCGCCUUCCCUGCCCGCCCUCCGCUGUGGACGCGGCCGCUUCUCCACCUCCCACCGUCCUCAUUCCUAGCAGAGCGCUUGGCACAGAGAAUGCUUGGUGGACAGCUGUUGACCUGAAUCAAACUGGCAAACGGCAAGACUUAAGCUUCUUCCAACACUGAUAUUCUAUGAUUAAUUUUUAAAAGUGUCUACCCAGUUAAGUUCAUUUUCAGAAUCUAAUUAAAUCCAGCAUAUAUAUUAUGGAGUAGAAAAUUUCACAUUACAACUGAAAUGUACAUAAAAAUGCUGCUUAAAUUUUUUUCUCUAAAUGACCCAUCCUACUUUGAACCUUCAUUGCUUUUUUUCUUCUUUUUUCUUUUUUCUUUUUUUGGAGGAAGAUUAGCCCUGAGCUAUCACCUGCCACCAAUCUUCCUCUUUUUGCUGAGGAAGACUGGCCCUGAGCUAACAUCCAUGCCCAUCUUCCUCUAUUUUAUGUGGGACGCCUGCCACAGCAUGGCUUGCCAAGUGGUGCAUAUGUCCGCACCCAGGAUCCGAACCGGUGAAUUCUGGGCUACUGGAGCAGAAUGUGCGAACUUAACUGCUGCGCCACCGGGCUGGCCCCAGAACCUUCAUUGCUUUUUACUUAAAAUUGCCUUUAAAAUUAACAGUCUCUGGAAUAGGAAAAGAUUUCUUCUGUAUAACACAAAAAGCACUAACCAUAAGGGGAACAUUUAAUAAACUGGACUACAUCAGAAUUAAGAACUUCUGAUCAUGAAAAGACAACCUUAAGUGUGGAAGAGAAGUUACAGACUAAGAGAAGAUAUUUGUAAUAAAUAUAUCCAACAGAGGAUUCAAAAACACAGAGACCUCAUAUGCAUCAAGAGAUAAGAUUGACAGCUCAAUAGAAAGUGGGCAAAUGACUUAAGUGGCACUUUGUGAAAGAGAAUAUUCAGACUCCCAAUGAGUUUACAAAAAAGCGGCUUGCCUUAGUCAGCUCGGGCUGCUGGAACAAAAUACCACAGGCUGAGGGGCUUAAACAGUAGAAACUUAUUUCUCACAGUUCUGGAGGCUGGAAGCCCAAGGUCAAGGUGCCAGCCGGAGGAGCUCUUCCUGGCUUUUAGAUGGAUGGCUGCCUCACUGCUGUCUCCUCACACUGCAGAGGAGGAGGAGAGGGGAGAGAAAGAGCAGAGAGCUCUCUGGAGUCUCUUCUCAGAAGGACACUGAUCCUCUUGGAUCUAGGCCCCAUCCUUAUGAGCUCAUUUAACCCUAAUUACCUCCUUAUAGGCCCUCUCUCCAAAUACAGUGUCACUGGGGUUCAGGCUUGAACAUACGCCUCUGGGGGAGAUACAGUUCAGCUCAUUCAAGGCUCAGUAUAACACUAAUGAAAUACUGCUAUACAUCCACCAGAACGGCUAAAGUUAAAAGGCUGACAGUUCCAAGUGUGGGAGAGGAUGUGGGACAAUUGUAACUCUCCUCCAUUGCAGAUGGGAGAGUAAAUUGGGAUAACCAUGCUGGGAAACUGGCAGGAUCUGCUCCAGCUGAACACCUGCAGACCGUACACCCUAGAAAUGCCACUCCUAGGAAUAUAGUGAAUCAAAGUGGAUGCGUGUGUUUUGAAAAAAGUGUGCAAGAAUGUUCCAGGAGACCUAUUGACAAUUGCUGGAAACCAGAAAUGACUCACCUGCCUGUUAAUGAUAGUGACAGUGCUAUGUGCUGUGCUGUGUCCCCUAAAAUCAGUGUGUUGAAGUCCUAACCCGCAGUACCUCAGAAUGUGACUGUAUUUAAAGAUAGGAGCUUUAAAAAGGUGAUCAAGUUAAAAAGAGACUGUGAAGGUGUGCCCUAGACUGAUCUGCCUGGUGUCCUCACAAAAAGAGGAAAUGUGGAUGCGCAGAAAGAUACCUGACGUGUGUGCACAGAGGAAAGACCGCGUGAGGACAAAGUGAGAAGGCGGCGUCUGCAAGCCAAGGAGAUAGGCCUCAGAGGCAACCAAGCCUACUGACUCCUUGAUCUUGAACUUCUGGCCUCCAGAUUCUGUUGUUUAAGCCGGCCAGUCUGCUGUACUUUGUGGCAGGUGGCCCGAGCUGACUCAGACGGGCGUAUUCCCUCCAUGAGAUGCCACACAGCAGAGGGGCUGCACGAGCCGUGAUGGCACACAGCAGCAUGGGGACAUGUCACAAACAGGAUGGCGGGCCACAGGAGGCAGCCACGAAAGAGCACCAAUGGCACGUGUGCGGCUGCACAAAGUCCAAAUCCAGGCAGAGCCAGCCUGUGGUGCUUGAGGCUUUCACUGAAGUCUGGCAAACGUCCAGAAAAGUGCACGACUGACUUGGGGUAACACCUGCAAGGGGCCUGAGGGGCUGCGGGUGCUGGUAAAUUCGGGGUCUUGAUCUGGGUGCUGGCUACACGGGUGUGUUUACUUUAUUAAGAAAAUGCAUCAGAUUGGGCACUUAGGAUUUGUGCCCUUUUCUGAUCCUUUAAUAAAAACUUGACCGAAAACACUUUACAUAAUCAUGUCCUGCAGCCGAUUUAGAGCGCACGCUCCCUAAGGAGGCCCUUGCUCCUCAGCAAGGCGUCUUCCCCAGCCUUUUCCUCUAAAAACUGAGAUCGGUUAGGUGGGCUCUGCAGGGCUAUCCUUCUCUGCCGGCUCCCACUGGUCUGGACUGAGGUAUACUUCAUCUGACCCAACUUUUGUAUUGCCUCUUCUCACUGUGUCCCCUGCUUAAGAGUCUGUGGCUUGUGUCACCCGUGAUUUGUUUUCUCAGCAUGAGCAAUGCAUUAUAACUUCUUCCAGAAUGAUUGGCUCAGCUCUCACCAGCGUGUGGUGUACUUAGGGUGGUGCAGUACACAACCUACACAACAGUCUAUGGCAACCCUGGUCUUCAUCUCAGCUCCCAAGGUUCUGUGAAGUCUGUGGGACCUAGACACACUCUCCAUCCAUCCCCUACCUAACCUUUGCCCUCAGCUGUUGUCAUGGCUGGGGCCUCCUCAUCCUUCUCUACCCCUCACAAAGACUGCAAGGUAGACAUUCCCUGGAUCUCUUGUGGAAUGGGUAGGUGUGGGUGCCAGAGCCAGGUGAGGGGCGGCUGUGAAGUUGGUUCUGGCCUGUGGAGAAAGCCAAGGAGCCAAGAGCAGCAGACACAAGGAAGAGGGAGAGAGAAUUGUGAGCGAGCCUUAGCUCUCGUCUCUCCUGAGGCCUCAACUUCCUGAGCUUUAAUUACUAAGUCCAGCAAAUUCCCCUUUUGGCCCAUGCUGGUUUGAAAUGGGUUUAUGCCCGCAAGAACCAAAAAAUUUCUGACUAAUACGUCCGUUAAAGGUUUUUUCCCCCAAAGAAGCAGACUUCCUUCAAAGGUGAAUUCGAACUCCUGGCUGGAGGAAAGCAGGAAAGUUUGUUCAAGUUUUGAAAGAGUGAGACAAGUCUGCCCCUUUUCACCCAUUCCCCUUCAGGUCCCCUUCUGCUCACCAAGACUGCGAAGAAGCCGGGCUCAGGCUCAGCUUGAGCGCCCUGUCCACGAACACCAGGCUCGAGAAUUUAGAUCUUUGCUCAACGAACAGAUCACGUGAAUGUGACAUAGUAACACCAGGAAAUACGCUCCCUGACCCAGGAUAUGCCGUGCCGGAUGGACAGAUACAACAGACAUGGGGAGAGGAAGCAAAGUCUCUUUAAUGAUGAGGGGUGUGGAAACGUGUGGAAAUGGUUAGAAAGCAAGAGACGACCCAGCCGGCUUCCAGAGAGAGCCUGGGCCUCGAAGCAGAUGCAAACCUCUCUAAGGAAGAAAGGGGCGGCUACAGCGGGAAUCAAAGACACCAUUUCUCAGCUUUGAGUUUUAAAGUAGUCUUAAAAUUUCAUAGCAAGACAAUGGUCUCGAAAGCCAGACUUUUCAGAGAAAGGUUUUUCUUAAAACUCCGAAGGCUGGAGUUUUCACACAUCAAACAAUCAAAGCUGAGAGAGGUUGAAUGCUCAUUUUGUGAGUCAUAGAGCAGGGCAGAAUGAGGAUAUGACAAAAGGGAAGUUUCUACCCCACAGGAAGGAGAACAGUGAUUUUGAGACUUGGGGAAAGAAUUGAGAAAUGGGGCAAGGAAAUGCAGGCAGGGGUCAGGUGGUGUGCUGGUUCUCACCACCCCUCCCAUUGGGAUCAAACUCCAGGGGUAAGGGAGGACGGGAACAUCCAGGUAGUUUUAGGGCCUCCAAGAACUUCAGGGCUGGUGCCCCCACUUCCCCAGAUGUAGCCUGAGGAGUCUUCACAUCUUUCAGAGGAGCCUUUGGGUCAGCCUGAUACUGCAUCCAACAUGGCGCCCAAGCCAAGGAGUAGAGAUGACUGAGGGAGAUGCUCUGGUGGGUUGGGCCUGAGAUAGCACCCCUGGUUCGUAAUGAUCCAGCAUAUGAUGUGGAGGAGGUCCAGAAGUUCCUGUGUGCCACAGGGGAACCUGAAAAGUAGCUGAGGUGCUAGCUGGUGAGUUCACUAGGACGUCAUCACGGCAAAAGGCAAAGUGACCAGAGCUUCAGGAUGGACUUCUCAAACCAGGGGUCAAAUGGCUUUCCGUGCAGGCCUCAGGGAAGCAGGAGCCUCAGUGAGAGGCAGGUGAGGCCAAGGCAGCCAGGCAGCCUCCAACCCCCAGGCAACAUGUAACUGUGCCGCAAGACCUGAAGACACACAAGCUUCCUCUGCAACCAGCUGCCAUCUUGGAAUGAAGAAGGAGAAGGAAACCCCUUGGGGUGAUGGAGAAACCCAAAGAUGAAGUAAUUACUCAAAAGGAAAUGAUUUUAACCCGAGAGAGUCUGAGAUGCUACAACGGCAAGAACAAGAGUUUUUUGUCUACAGUAGAAAUGAGGUCUCAGGAGAUGAUUGGGAUUUUAUUGAUGGUCAUGUUUUACACAUCCAAGCAAAUUCCACCUUCACAGGAUCCUCAUGACUUCUAUCAUAACAUACGUUAUUUUUUCCAAUUAUGAUGGUAAUAUGAUUUCAUUUUAGAAAAUUUGGGGAACAAGACCAUAGAGAAGAAAACAAAAAUCCCGUCAUCUCAUCAACCAAAGAGAACUACAGUUAACAUCUUUGUUGAUUUCCUUCCAGUCUUUUCUCUAUGUGUACGUGUUUGUGUGUGUAUUACUGUGACUGGACACUUACAUAGCUUGUUGGUUGACAAGAUUCUUUAAUGUCUAAAGCACUUUUGUUUGUGGAAAGGAAUACCCACCACUUUGUGUACUUUGUUUAUUAUCUUUAAAUAAUCACCACUUUAAAUAAUCACCAUUACAAUCACUUCUAAAUAUUCACAGGACUCAUGACCACUAAAUCGAAAAUAUAAGAAGCUAACAAAUUCAGUUUCCCCAAAUGCUUAAACAUUGAUUGAAGUGUGAUCAAUUAAACUUCCCUAAGCAAUUGAUUACCAGUCUCCAAUAUAUAUAGAUUUUCUCAUGUGUUUUAAACGCCUUAAAAUGGAGACAGAACACGCCCACAAUGACAAGGAUUUCUAAACUGGGCAGCGCUUACACUAAAGCUGUUACAGAAGCGCUAAGACCAUGGGUUUACGUCGUAUCUCCAUCAUCUCCUCCUUACUCCUCUGUUGGUUUCUCCCCAGAGGCACGACUGUCUUCCCUUAGCUGAGAGAGCGGGGCUGCCUCGGCACUGGCUGAGGUGGCGUAAAGGGCAACAGGUCAGAGACCGCUCAGAUUAUUGGCUCUGAGUGCUCAGACAGGAUUUGAUUUUUUAUAGUCCUCCUCUUUGCCCCCAAGUGACACUUGCUCUGGGUGUUCUCACUUUGUAGCCCCGCCUGUUAUAAUCCUGCUUUACAAUUGUUCUGGGCAGUGGGGCAACUGACCUGGUUUAGAUAAAAAUUUGCCACACUGAAACGACAGCUUCUCUUUCUCAUUGACUAUUUUGAC